GACGAACGCUGGCGGCGUGCUUAACACAUGCAAGUCGAGCGGAAAGGCCUCUUCGGGGGUACUCGAGCGGCGAACGGGUGAGUAACACGUGAGUAAUCUGCCCUUCACUUUGGGAUAGCUCCCGGAAACGGGGAUUAAUACCGGAUACGACCAUUCCACGCAUGUGGUGGUGGUGGAAAGUUUUUUCGGUGGGGGAUGUGCUCGCGGCCUAUCAGCUUGUUGGUGGGGUAAUGGCCUACCAAGGCUUCGACGGGUAGCCGGCCUGAGAGGGUGACCGGCCACACUGGGACUGAGACACGGCCCAGACUCCUACGGGAGGCAGCAGUGGGGAAUAUUGGACAAUGGGCGGAAGCCUGAUCCAGCAACGCCGCGUGAGGGAUGACGGCCUUCGGGUUGUAAACCUCUUUCAGCACCGACGAAGCGCCCUUGGGGUGGUGACGGUAGGUGCAGAAGAAGGACCGGCCAACUACGUGCCAGCCGCCGCAGUAACAC
RNAcentral lists this ribosomal RNA (492 nucleotides) under uncultured bacterium. RNAcentral describes it as "bacterial SSU rRNA". It matches the Rfam family "Bacterial small subunit ribosomal RNA", at positions 28 to 526 of the family's 1533-position model. The record is from RNAcentral.